CUCAACUUAUUUUCUCCCCGUAAAAUAAUAAAAAUCGAUAGACUUAUCUGUUGCAUAGUCACAGGGACUAUAAAUUGUGAUCGAUUAAUAGAUUGCUACGGGCAUGUUGAUGAUGACUGUCCGUAAGAUGGCGCUAUAAGAAACCAGAGAUGCUAAAGAGCUUGAAACUAGCACCUAUCAAGGGAAGAUGAUGAGCCAGAUUCUGUGUUAUUUCUACAUUUUCGCUUAAUUUUGGGUUCCACGCCGACUUUUGUCGUAAACUAAAGACACCCAUAUGCGGUAGCCGUAUGCAGCUUGGAGGAUUAGUGGGGUUGGCCAUUUUGUACGUCACGUUGGCCUUCUUUUGUUCGAGAGCUGAAGCUUGGCUUUUGCCGUCUGGUCGGAACCCGAAAAUUCCGUGGAAGCGCAGGAUUGCCGGCUUGGAAAUUAAUGUCACCGACGAAGAUGAAGGGAUAGAUGUCUAUGUUGGUGAACCUUGCGAAAACACGUGUAGUAAUAAUUUACACAACAUUUAUUGCAACUUAACAACAAAAAGAUGCGAGUGCCUGAAAGAAUAUCCUGUAAGAGUCAAGAGAAAAGGAUGUGUGAAAGGAGCUAGAUUAUGGGAAAAAUGUGAUUACACAGAAUCUUGCUCCUACUAUAACGACCAUGCCAUGUGUAAUUCGCAUGGAGAAUGUCGCUGUGAAGAGGGCUACAAAAGUUAUUCCGACGAAACGGGGGAAAUGUGCAUUCCAGGAAAGGGAGAUGGAAUUCUUGAGAAUCCUGAUCUAAUGACAGGGAUAAUGGUUGUUGCUGGAGUAAUGAUUGGAACUGCCCUUUUCUGUCUAGUGCUCAGAUUAUUCAGUAGAGCCCGGUUUGGGAGAAAUAGAGGACGCUUUGGUAAUGCUGCAGAGCUUCCUGUUGUUCUAACUGGAACAGAGGCUCUAGCCUCCAUUCCAUGCUCACGACCGCCAUCUCGUGGCAGCGCUAGCAAUGAAUACCUACCAAGCUCUCGGUCUGCUUCAGUACGUUCCCAUGCUUCGGUUCGAAGCUAUGCCUACAUCAGAAAUCAGUCUCCAAUUCAUAAGUUACGAGGAAAACAUGAAAAGGUUCACGUGCGACGAACAGCGUCGUUACAACAGGACGAACAUUCAAGUCUCCAGUCUCUCAACUAUCAUAAUCCUAAUUCAACCGCAGAAGACCCGAAAACGUAAUCCAUGGAUGACAGGAUUUUUGUUUUUAAUGUGGUCUACUACUUCAGGCGUGUGAGAGAAGUUGUUCAAAGAUGAAAACAUGGAAAAAUUGACAAUAGGAAAGUGUUAUUCCUGAGACAGCAACAAAGGAUGUGUUGACAAAUAACAAGUGAUUGAUAAAUGUGUAAGUUUAGC
This 1367-nucleotide unclassified non-coding RNA is filed under the name Limulus polyphemus (Atlantic horseshoe crab). Its description in RNAcentral is "uncharacterized LOC111084978, transcript variant X1". Lineage: Eukaryota; Metazoa; Arthropoda; Merostomata; Xiphosura; Limulidae. The record is from RNAcentral.